This 71-nucleotide transfer RNA is filed under the name Litoria pallida (peach-sided rocketfrog). Its description in RNAcentral is "tRNA-His". It matches the Rfam family "tRNA". From Rfam's summary of the family: Transfer RNA (tRNA) molecules are approximately 80 nucleotides in length. Their secondary structure includes four short double-helical elements and three loops (D, anti-codon, and T loops). Lineage: Eukaryota; Metazoa; Chordata; Amphibia; Anura; Pelodryadidae. The record is from RNAcentral.
AGUGAAUAUAGUUUAUUAAAAAUUUUAGUCUGUGAAACUAAAGAUAAGAGCUAACUACUCUUUAUUCACCG